GUGCCAGCCGCCGCGGUACUACCGGCAGCCCGAGUGAUGGCCGAUCUUAUUGGGCCUAAAGCGUCCGUAGCUGGCCGCGCGAGUCCAUCGGGAAAUCCACCUGCUCAACAGGUGGGCGUCCGACGGAAACUGUGUGGCUUGGAACCGGAAGGCUCAGAGGGUACGUCCGGGGUAGGAGUGAAAUCCCGUAAUCCCGGACGGACCACCGAUGGCGAAAGCACUCUGAGAAGACGGCUUCGACAGUGAGGGACGAAAGCUAGGGUCUCAAACCGGAUUAGAUACCCGAGUAGUCC
Molecule: ribosomal RNA, 293 nt
Filed under: uncultured bacterium
Lineage: Bacteria
Description: partial 16S ribosomal RNA
Rfam family: Archaeal small subunit ribosomal RNA
Source: RNAcentral